AUUGAACGCUGGCGGCAUGCCUUACACAUGCAAGUCGAACGGCAGCACGGGUGCUUGCACCUGGUGGCGAGUGGCGAACGGGUGAGUAAUACAUCGGAACGUACCUUAUCGUGGGGGAUAACGCAGCGAAAGCUGUGCUAAUACCGCAUAAGCCCUGAGGGGGAAAGCGGGGGAUCGAAAGACCUCGCGCGAUUAGAGCGGGCGAUGCCUGAUUAGCUUGUUGGUGGGGUAAAAGCCCACCAAGGCGACGAUCAGUAGCUGGUCUGAGAGGACGAUCAGCCACACUGGGACUGAGACACGGCCCAGACUCCUACGGGAGGCAGCAGUGGGGAAUUUUGGACAAUGGGGGCAACCCUGAUCCAGCAAUGCCGCGUGAGUGAAGAAGGCCUUCGGGUUGUAAAGCUCUUUUGUCAGGGAAGAAACACCGGCUCUAACACAGUCCGGGAAUGACGGUACCUGAAGAAUAAGCACCGGCUAACUACGUGCCAGCAGCCGCAGUAA
RNAcentral lists this ribosomal RNA (501 nucleotides) under uncultured bacterium. Its description in RNAcentral is "partial 16S ribosomal RNA". It matches the Rfam family "Bacterial small subunit ribosomal RNA", at positions 29 to 523 of the family's 1533-position model. The record is from RNAcentral.